Molecule: ribosomal RNA, 253 nt
Filed under: uncultured bacterium
Lineage: Bacteria
Description: partial 16S ribosomal RNA
Rfam family: Bacterial small subunit ribosomal RNA
Source: RNAcentral
UACAGAGGGGGCAAGCGUUGUUCGGAAUUACUGGGCGUAAAGGGCGCGUAGGCGGCCUGCUAAGUCGAACGUGAAAUCCCCGGGCUUAACCCGGGAACUGCGUCCGAUACUGGUGGGCUUGAAUCCGGGAGAGGGAUGUGGAAUUCCAGGUGUAGCGGUGAAAUGCGUAGAUAUCUGGAGGAACACCGGUAGCGAAGGCGGCAUCCUGGACCGGUAUUGACGCUGAGGCGCGAAAGCUAGGGGAGCAAACGGG